This 168-nucleotide ribosomal RNA is filed under the name uncultured bacterium. RNAcentral's name for it is "partial 16S ribosomal RNA". It matches the Rfam family "Bacterial small subunit ribosomal RNA", at positions 1333 to 1500 of the family's 1533-position model. The record is from RNAcentral.
CGCUAGUAAUCGCAGAUCAGCAUGCUGCGGUGAAUACGUUCCCGGGCCUUGUACACACCGCCCGUCACACCAUGGGAGUCGGUAACACCCGAAGUCGGUAGCCUAACCGUAAGGAGGGCGCCGCCGAAGGUGGGAUUGAUGACUGGGGUGAAGUCGUAACAAGGUACC